RNAcentral lists this ribosomal RNA (1523 nucleotides) under uncultured Flavobacteriaceae bacterium. Its description in RNAcentral is "bacterial SSU rRNA". It matches the Rfam family "Bacterial small subunit ribosomal RNA". The record is from RNAcentral. Lineage: Bacteria; Pseudomonadati; Bacteroidota; Flavobacteriia; Flavobacteriales; Flavobacteriaceae.
AGGGUUUGAUCAUGGCUCAGGAUGAACGCUAGCGGCAGGCCUAACACAUGCAAGUCGAGGGGUAACAGAGGGUGCUUGCACCUUGCUGACGACCGGCGCACGGGUGCGUAACGCGUAUGCAACCUACCUUCCACAGGGGGAUAGCCCAGAGAAAUUUGGAUUAAUACCCCAUACGAUCAUUAGAUAGCAUUAUUUGAUGAAGAAAACCUUGGUGGUGGAAGAUGGGCAUGCGUCCUAUUAGUUAGUUGGUGAGGUAACGGCUCACCAAGACGUCGAUAGGUAGGGGCCCUGAGAGGGGGAAUUCCCCCACCACUGGUAUUGAGACACGGAUCAGACUCCUACGGGAGGCAGCAGUGAGGAAUAUUGGACAAUGGAGGCAACUUCUGAUCCAGGCAUGGCGCGUGCAGGAAGACUGGCCUAUGGGUUGUAAACUGCUUUUAUACAGGAAGAAUCGGUGCUACGUGUAGUGCUUUGACGGUACUGUAAGAAUAAGGAUCGGCUAACUCCGUGCCAGCAGCCGCGGUAAUACGGAGGAUCCAAGCGUUAUCCGGAAUCAUUGGGUUUAAAGGGUCCGUAGGUGGUUGAUUAAGUCAGAGGUGAAAGCCUAUCGCUCAACGAUAGAACUGCCUUUUGAUACUGAUUGACUUGAGUUAUUGUGAAGUAGUUAGAAUAUGUAAUGUAGCGGUGAAAUGCAUAGAUAUUACAUAGAAUACCGAUUGCGAAGGCAGAUUACUAACAAUAUACUGACACUGAGGGACGAAAGCGUGGGUAGCGAAACAGGAUUAGAUACCCUGGUAGUCCACGCCGUAAACGAUGGUCACUAGCUGUUUGACUAACAAUUGGUUGGUUGAGUGGCUAAGCGAAAGUGAUAAGUGACCCACCUGGGGAGUACGCUCGCAAGAGUGAAACUCAAAGGAAUUGACGGGGGCCCGCAACAAGCGGUGGAGCAUGUGGUUUAAUUCGAUGAAUACGCGAGGAACCUUACCAGGGCUUAAAUGUACGUUGCAUGAAUUUAGAGAAUAAGAUCUUUCUUCGGACCUACGUACAAGGUGCUGCAAUGGUUGUCGUCAGCUUCGUGGCCGUGGAGGUGUUCAGGUUAAGUCCUAUAACAGAGCGCAACCCCUAUCGUUAGUUGCACAACAGGAUAACGCUGGGAACUCUAACGAGACCUUCGUGGCUCAUAGACAACCUCGCCGUCGGAAGGUGGGGAUGACGUCAAAUCAUCACGGCCCUUACGUCCUGGGCUACACACGUGCUACAAUGGCCGGUACAGCGAGCAGCCACUGCGUGAGCAGGAGCGAAUCUAUAAAACCGGUCUCAGUUCGGAUCGCAGUCUGCAACUCGACUGCGUGAAGCUGGAAUCGCUAGUAAUCGGAUAUCAGCCAUGAUCCGGUGAAUACGUUCCCGGGCCUUGUACACACCGCCCGUCAAGCCAUGGAAGCUGGGGGUACCUGAAGUCGGUGACCGCAAGGAGCUGCCUAGGGUAAAACUAGUAACUGGGGCUAAGUCGUAACAAGGUAGCC